GACGAACGCUGGCGGCGUGCUUAACACAUGCAAGUCGAACGGAAAGGCCCUGCUUUUGUGGGGUGCUCGAGUGGCGAACGGGUGUGUAACACGUGAGUAACCUGCCCUUGACUUUGGGAUAACUUCAGGAAACUGGGGCUAAUAACGGAUAGGAGCUCCUGCUGCAUGGUGGGGGUUGGAAAGUUUCGGCGGUUGGGGAUGGACUCGCGGCUUAUCAGCUUGUUGGUGGGGUAGUGGCUUACCAAGGCUUUGACGGGUAGCCUGCCUGAGAGGGUGGCCUGCCACAUUGGGACUGAGAUACGGCCCAGACUCCAACGGGAGGCAACGGUGGGGAAGAUUGCACAGUGGGCGGAAGCCAGAUGCAGCGACGCCGCGUGCGGGAUGACGGCCUUCGGGUUGUAAACCAAUUUCGCCUGUGACGAGGCGAGAGUGACGGUAAUGGGUAAAGAAGCACCGGCUAACUACGUG
RNAcentral lists this ribosomal RNA (468 nucleotides) under uncultured bacterium. Its description in RNAcentral is "partial 16S ribosomal RNA". It matches the Rfam family "Bacterial small subunit ribosomal RNA", at positions 28 to 507 of the family's 1533-position model. The record is from RNAcentral.